RNAcentral lists this ribosomal RNA (253 nucleotides) under uncultured bacterium. Its description in RNAcentral is "partial 16S ribosomal RNA". It matches the Rfam family "Bacterial small subunit ribosomal RNA", at positions 524 to 776 of the family's 1533-position model. The record is from RNAcentral.
UACGUAGGGGGCGAGCGUUGUCCGGAAUCAUUGGGCGUAAAGCGCGUGUAGGCGGCCCGGUAAGUCCGCUGUGAAAGUCCAGGGCUCAACCCUGGGAUGCCGGUGGAUACUGUCGGGCUCGAGUCCGGAAGAGGCGAGUGGAAUUCCUGGUGUAGCGGUGAAAUGCGCAGAUAUCAGGAGGAACACCAAUGGCGAAGGCAGCUCGCUGGGACGUGACUGACGCUGAUGCGCGAAAGCUAGGGUAGCAAACAGG